GGCUGGGGGAGGGGGAGUGGGCAGCACCAGAGGGGGCUUCACUAAUCCACUCCAGUUUGUCCCCCAAGACAAGAAACUCAUGAUUGAGAAUGAGCAAGUGUGCGCUAGAAGUGUGACCUCAAAACUAGUGACAGGUGCGAUGCGGGAGGCGCUAUCGAUCGAACACAAACAGAGACUCCUAGAUGGCACGUGGGAUAAGCUGUUCAACCAACUGGUCGCCCAUUACGUCACACACAUGGUCGACUACAGAACCUUCGUCACGAAGAGUCUCAAAGAAAUAGAAGUGUCCGAUAUAUAACAAAACGAAGUGUGACUAAAUAAUACAUAGAAAGCUUGGUUUCGAACCAACGUAAACUUUCCAAAGAAAUGAAACUCUUGUAUUUUUGUGCAAUGCUUUAUCUAAGACAGAAUUAUUUGCAAAUUCUUGCAAAUGUUAUUAAUGGAGUUAGAAACGCGAGUUGCGAAAAUUGCGCUGUCAGAUUUAAUUCUUUUUUUUUGUUAAAAAAAGUUAUAUUUUGGUUUAACUCAAAUCUAGUUGAAUAGGAACUGAAAAUUAUUUAAUGUACUGAAGUUAUAGAUAUGUAUAUUGCAGUAAAUGUAAAUAGUUGUAAAUUGAAUUUAAGGUACUUUGUUA
Molecule: long non-coding RNA, 634 nt
Organism: Symsagittifera roscoffensis
Lineage: Eukaryota; Metazoa; Xenacoelomorpha; Acoela; Convolutidae
Exons: 2
Source: RefSeq, a predicted model, not a curated record